This 713-nucleotide long non-coding RNA is filed under the name Fragaria vesca (wild strawberry). Its description in RNAcentral is "long non-coding RNA (FVES_LNC000460)". The record is from RNAcentral. Lineage: Eukaryota; Viridiplantae; Streptophyta; Magnoliopsida; Rosales; Rosaceae.
AUUUGCAGUUGGAAGCUGUAACCAAACCAGAAAUGCAAACUUCAUCUGAUAGUAGAGCGGAACCCUGAUUUAAAACACAACAUGAAGACAGGUGGCAUUCAUUAGAUUCCAGUACCUCAUCCAAGAAGCAGUACAACAGCUUUUACUUGAAAGUUCCACCAAAUGAAGAAUAAAGAGCAGCUUUAACAUAGUGACAUAGUCAAAUGAUUACACAAAUAUCAAACUAGAUAGUUAAAAGCUGUGCUUACCUCGACCAUUGUUUUCAAAGGAGAAUGCAAUGGUCUGAUUAUACAAAGAAACAAACUCUACAGUUUCAAGUUUAAACAGUUAGCAUGACUUGAAAAAAUCUGUGAUCAAAAAGCUUCAAAAAUCAUCUAGCCAGCACAAGCACAGUGAGAAAAACAAAAAGCAGAACCCCAAUGGAAAAGAUAGGAUGAAGAAACAAAAGAGGGGAAGGGAGAGAAAAGAUAAGAACAAAUAGCUAGCAAUCAGAUUUCAAUUUCAAAUUGAGAGAUCUUCGAAAAAGAGUUAUGCUAUGGUCUGUUUACAUAGCCAAUCCAAAACCAACUCAGAUAACACUCCCCUAAUCAAAUCUGUACCUAACUAUGCCGUGAUCAAGUCUUUUCUUGAAAGGUUAUUGUUCACAUAGUCUGCUUCGUAAGAGAGUAGUUUUAUAUUCAUGUAAGCAAACUGGGAGUGAAUAGAAAACUAGA